This 497-nucleotide ribosomal RNA is filed under the name uncultured bacterium. Its description in RNAcentral is "partial 16S ribosomal RNA". It matches the Rfam family "Bacterial small subunit ribosomal RNA", at positions 28 to 507 of the family's 1533-position model. The record is from RNAcentral.
GAUGAACGCUGGCGGCGUGCCUAAUACAUGCAAGUCGAGCGAACGGACGAGAAGCUUGCUUCUCUGAUGUUAGCGGCGGACGGGUGAGUAACACGUGGAUAACCUACCUAUAAGACUGGGAUAACUUCGGGAAACCGUAGCUAAUACCGGAUAAUAUUUUGAACCGCAUGGUUCAAAAGUGAAAGACGGUCUUGCUGCCACUUAUAGAUGGAUCCGCGCUGCAUUAGCUAGUUGGUAAGGUAACGGCUUACCAAGGCAACGAUGCAUAGCCGACCUGAGAGGGUGAUCAGCCACACUGGAACUGAGACACGGUCCAGACUCCUACGGGAGGCAGCAGUAGGGAAUCUUCCGCGAUGGGCGAAAGCCUGACGGAGCAACGCCGCGUGAGUGAUGAAGGUCUUCGGAUCGUAAAACUCUGUUAUUAGGGAAGAACAUAUGUGUAAGUAACUGUGCACAUCUUGACGGUACCUAAUCAGAAAGCCACGGCUAACUACGUG